Molecule: long non-coding RNA, 887 nt
Filed under: Homo sapiens (human)
Lineage: Eukaryota; Metazoa; Chordata; Mammalia; Primates; Hominidae
Source: RNAcentral
ACAACGUCGAAAGCAGCCGUUGGGAGCCCAGGAGGCGGGGCGCCUGUGGGAGCCGUGGAGGGAACUUUCCCAGUCCCCGAGGCGGAUCCGGUGUUGCAUCCUUGGAGCGAGCUGAGAGCUCGAGAGACGGGGAUUUAGCUAUGUUGCCCAAGCUGGUCUGGAACUCCGGAGCUCAAGCAGUCCGCCCGCCUUGGCCCCCCAAAGCGCUGGAAUUACAGGCGUAAUGCACUGUGCCUGGCCUUUAAAAAAAAAUUGAGGUUAUUUUGGGGACAGUAGAGCGUCCAGACACAUCCUAAUUUGCAUAGCUGCGCAGUUUUAAAAAAUGCAAUGCAUUUUUACCUGUUAGGUACAGAACCUGCUAAGGCCAUCAAACCUAUUGAUCGGAAGUCAGUCCAUCAGAUUUGCUCUGGGCCGGUGGUACCGAGUCUAAGCACUGCGGUGAAGGAGUUAGUAGAAAACAGUCUGGAUGCUGGUGCCACUAAUAUUGAUCUAAAGCUUAAGGACUAUGGAGUGGAUCUCAUUGAAGUUUCAGGCAAUGGAUGUGGGGUAGAAGAAGAAAACUUCGAAGGCUUAACUCUGAAACAUCACACAUCUAAGAUUCAAGAGUUUGCCGACCUACCUCAGGUUGAAACUUUUGGCUUUCGGGGGGAAGCUCUGAGCUCACUUUGUGCACUGAGGUGAUAAAAUAUUUUUAUCCAUUCACUUGACCCCUUAGAAAAACCUCUCUGAAAAUUAAUUGGAAUCAUUAUUAUUUACAGUUUUCUGUCUCAAUAUCUCAGCUUCCAGCUUCUGAAUUCUGUUUUGUCUCACUGCCAAUCUAAGUCCUAGUACUUCUGAAAUGUGAGCAAUAAAUGAAUGAAAUGAAGCAAAUAGUAUUGUUAAAAAAA